RNAcentral lists this long non-coding RNA (14318 nucleotides) under Gallus gallus (chicken). The record is from RNAcentral. Lineage: Eukaryota; Metazoa; Chordata; Aves; Galliformes; Phasianidae.
GGUGCUUUUAAAAUGCUGCGUUCAGGGACAGGUUCUGUGUCAAGAUAGUGUAUGUCAAAGCACAUGGUCCAUUAACUGCUCCAGGUAAUAGCUUUGGCAGAGCCCUUUUUUGGAAGACUCUUCAGUCUUUAUGAAAUUUACUACAGGCUCCAGACAUUAAUUCAAAAUACCCAAAGUAAUCUGUCGGAAGUAGGCCUAAUUUCUUGGUGUAUGAGAAUGUGUAUGAUAAGAGCAGGAAAAGUACACAUUUCUGAAUGCCUCCUCCUAUAUGAUUGUUAACCAAUGAAUCCCAUAUUGAAGUCCAGACAUUCAAAAUCGCUUUAUUUUUAAUGAAAGAAGUAAAGCUGUGGACCCGAUUCUCACCUAUAGCAAGUCAGUCUGGGUACAAAUGGUUCUGUAAUGGUGAAACCACCUUAAGAAUAGUGUACGAGUAGUUAUGUAGUAUGAGGGCUGCUCUGAAAGUAAUGCCUCCUAUUUUUAUUAUAUUGGACAAAGUGUUAUGCUCUAUAUUAUUAGUCCUGGGUUCAUGAAGUACUUUAAUACAUUUCUCUUUUAGCUUAGAUUUACUAAAAGUAAUAAGUACAGAAUAUUCUGUAACUCUCUUCCCUUUUUUCUCAUGGAUGAAUGAGCACUGAGUUUUCAGAAUGUUACAGCAUGUUUUAUUAGUGAAGCUGAUGCAACUUCGGGAUGGAUGAGAAUCAAUUCCAAAAGUAGUUGUCUGUUCAGAUAAAAAUCUAGCAUUGAAGAGGCUUGGUAUGCAGUUUGAGAGAAAUUAUAUUAGCAUUGUACUUUCUUUUUUAUGUGUAAUUUUGUUUAAAUUCGUGCAGAUGCAGAAGUAGCUGGUUCUGCUGCAACUCAAAUAUUUUCUCAUUUGAAAUGAAUGUAAAAUGUGCUUUGUUUUUCCUUUAUCCUCUGUACUGAGAUGCAUCAUAUUGCACUGUGUUUUUGGCUCAGGAUUUUCAUGGACUAUAAUUAUUUGACCCCUGUGAGUGAAAUAUUAUUUUCAUUAAUGGAAAAGCUUUGGAAGAGAAGAGUAAAAUUGCUUGUUUGAAUUAUAUGGAGCUCUUAGACUUACGGUCUAAUUGCUGGACUACGUCUAUCUUCAGUAAAUUCUUUACGAAACUUUGUAAGCCAGAGUAAUGCUGUCUAAGCAGACCUACGCGUGCUUUUCUGAUUUUUAAAUUGCACAACCAAGAGCAAGACUAUGAAAUUUUGUUUACAGAACACUUUAUCUUGAAAUGCACAUAAAUGAGCUAUCUUCUGUGAAGAGUACAAAAUAGUUUGUAAUUUUCCUGACAAAACAGGCAAAGAACCCUCUAUGAUUUUUAUCUUAAGCUGGCAAAGAACUAACUUUCUGGAAAGAAAAACUAAUUUUUAAGAAGUCAGUAUUGGGUAGCAAAAAAUAAGAGUGGCUACUUCUUUUGGAAAGCAUAUGAUGAAGUGGACUCUGCAUUUGUUGUUGACUUUCUCCUUUUCAAACUUAAGUAUUUGCAUUACUUACUUUAGAAUGUUAGCUGUUGUCACUGACAACUUGUUUUCACAGUUGUUCUAUGAAUACCUCGGUGUUUCAAUUCAGUUGGUUCCAUCACAAGACAGACGUAUUAGCUCAUAGAUGAGAAGCUUUUCAAGCCAGUGGUACCUUCUUGUACAGGAAAUAAAAAACAACACAGAAAAUGAAAGAACUCGGAACUACAGCUUCCCAAACGCACCACCUUGGGAUAAAUCUCCAUUCAUUAAAAAAACUGAAAACUGCUAUUUUACAAAAAAAGUAAAUGAGAAACUAAAAAGGUUUCUUUUUAAGGAAGCUCGGCUUUCUUCAUUGGCAGUAUCACUGUAAAAAAAAUUUCCUAAAGUGUCUGAAAAGCAAAAGGUAAAUAUCCUCUGCAUUUCAAUAUUAUUGGCUGUGGGAGUCCUCCUGUCGAGUUUUCUUCGUUCUUAGUAGGCUUGGUCUCAAUGGAAAUCUUAGCACCUGAAGGUACAAGGCAGCCUUCCACAUAGCAUCCUACGGAACAGUUUGAGGCAAAGACAAACUAAAACAUCAUUUUACCUGAAAAAUAAAAUUGUGGAAGAAUACAAGAUAUCAGAUUAUUCUGGCAGUAAGCCUCAAAGCAAAUGUUCUUCAGCGUGACAAGCUAAGCAUGAAAGUAUAUGCCUUAUUAGCAUGCAAAUUCUAUAUAUAUGAUUCAUUUGUUGUGUAAUGUCAUUUUUUUUUUUUUGCUUUAUCAGAAUCAUAUAUGUACUACUAUAUAGAGAGACUAUUAAAUGACUGUAUUUCACUGUUCAAGAGGAUGAAAGUCAAGGUGACGGUAAUUUCAAACUUUAGUAGCCAUCUUAUAUACCUUCUUUUAUAAUAGAUGAUUCCAAUUUUCCCCAAAGGAGGGGUUUUACUUCUUAUUACUUCAUACAUCCCAUUAUUUUUUUUUUGUUUUAAUUUGUUUUUUCGUUGCCUUAUUUCUUCUCUUUCAUAGUUGUUUCAGAUAGUCUCUUUCUCCUGAGGUUCUAAUGCUGAUGAAUUUUACACUGCUAUCGGUACUUCAUCUCUGCAUAUAUCUCUUUCCCAGAAAAAAUUGUGCCUCGGUGAUCUCAAAGAGCAACUGUCUUGUGUUUUAAGAGGAUUUGUAAGAGUUGAGCUAUGACUUCUAGACGUGCUGCUUUAGCUUGCCAGAUAGAUUUGUUUGACUCAACUGCCAUUGUGCUUUUUAAGAUGCUGAAUUACCUGUCCUUCUGAUACGUGUCAGUAAUAGCCACUGGGGCUUAACAGUUGCGUAGUUGAAAAGAUGUGUAAAAGCAGAGUUUACUUUGUAUUACUGUUAUUUAUAAUUUCCUGACAUUCAGCGUCUUUAAUUGCAGCGUAUGUUUGGCUGGGGCUGAAGCUUUCAGGAUCACUGCUCUGUAUGCUUUCUCUCCUUCAGCAGUGUACUGUGGGUACAGCAAUUCAGUCAUCUGCUAGCUGCAGUACUUGGUAAAUACUUGGGAACUGGGUGUUGAACUUCUGUUCCUUUUGUCUGGAAUCCCCACACAAAGUUGCAUGUUGAUGUCCAAAGCCUUUUGUUUUUAUUAUGCAAGGAAAAACGGACCAAUUAAGAAUGUUUUCAUAGCUUUAUAAUGGCACAAGAACACUGUGUGUAGAGUUCUUUGUUUAGAAAUUAAAGUGCAUAGGUGUUCCUAAAGAGAAAUAAGAAGGAUAUUUUCCACUUAUUUUUGUUCCAUCUUUCCUUUGAAGUCUGGAUUAGUUAGGCUUUUCAGGAUCUCCUAUUAACUUUUUUUGGGAAAUGAAUGGACUUGGAGAGUGCUUAAGCAGUGGAGGAGAUGAUUUUUAAGGUAUCUGAGAAACAUCUGAACUUCUAGCAUCUACUGUCAGAAGUUCAGAGUACUGUUAGAUUCUGCUUAGAGCAAACACUGCUAAUUCUUGGUCUUCCUAAAAUUUAAUUUUAGAGCUGAAACAUUCUCUUUCUCCUUGUUUUCUGUGUGGUGUGUUUUUAUUUUUAAGGCUUUAGAUGUAACUUCAAUACAUUCUAAUGUUAUCAAUUAUGUAAGGCUUCUGGAGCUUUGAAAUGUUAUUAUACAGGUGAAUUUCUGCUUUGAGAACAGCUUUUGUGGGAGGUGGCAGAAAGGAAGGGAAGCAAAGCCAUUCUUGUUUGGGCAGCAGGAUUCUGGAAUCAGGGAGGAGAUGAAACCACAAGGAUUCCUCAGCGCUUGUGGUGCUGGUAUCGACAUCUGGAAAGUAGAAAACAAUCUUCUGAAUGCUAUUCAAGUAACACGUUUUAGUUCUUUCUAGGGUGAUGUAAGAAAAUAGCCUUUUUCAGUAGAACCAAGUUCUUUCUUCCCUCCCGCUAUGUACGCCUACACCAAUGUUUUUUCAGCUCUGCAAGUGUGUUUUUUCUCACUCUCCCUCUGGUGUGUAGGCGGCCUUCCCAAUCACAACUGAGCUUCACAGGCAAUCUUUUUUUUUCUUUUUUUAAAAAAAGUCAUCUUUACACAGCAGGUCUAUAAUUUAACACCAAAGAAAAGGAGAAUUGAGAGCUCUGGUUUAGAAUUAUGAUGCGUCUCAGUAAUGGUUGAAUGGAAGAAGUUCCCCUUAAAGAAAAUGGGGAAAAUUUUUCUUGACCAGAAGGCCACCGCCUGUGGAAAUUUAUUCACCUGCUGCCAAAAUGACUUGUCCAACUGUCAGAAGUGCAAUCACAGGCAGACUUUAAACACUGUACUUGCAUCAUUAGACUGAGUUGGGAUUGAGCAUUUCUGCCUCCAGAUUAGAAUGUGAUUCUGCUUGCAAGAGACAGGCUUGUUGGUCAGUGAAAGUUUAAAAGUAAUUCUUACUUGACUGUUACCUUUAGGAUGAGCUCCAUUUAUAAUUGAAAUUAGGCUAUAAUUACUUUCACAAGCCCUGAUAGUGCUGCCUGGCACAUUUUAAAGAGUUUUGGUUUACACUACCAUUCUUCUUACAAGUAUUCAAACUUUACUCAGCUCUUGAAAUACUGUUGGGAGAGUAACAAUUCAUUUGUUUCAGCAACCUGACAUUUUGAAGAUAACCGUAAUAAAAGAACUAAUGCUUGCGCCGUGGUUAUGUGUGCAGCUUAAGCUGGCACUGCAGCUGUCAGCAGCUGUCCUUGACUGCUUGGUCUGUCCCAUGCUGUCUCCACAUCAGUGCAGAUGCUAAUUGGCCUUGCAGUGAGCUGUGAUUUUUGGGAAACCAGGUUGGAGAAACAAUCCAGGCCUUCUUCAGGCUCCUUAUAUAGAGUGAGGUUUUAAUAUCCUCCUCUGACAUGAUUCACUGAGCGUCUCCACCAACAUAUGAGCGUGGUGGGAGCUGAGGAUGACAACAUUCAGCAGCAGUUUGUGCUCCAGCUUCUGCUUGUUCCUCCAUGGAGUUCCUGGGACUGCAGCAUCAAUCUCCAUGGUUACGUCUGCUCACUCGGUCUAAAUAUAGAGGGCUCCCUGCAUCUACGGAUGCAAAUUUUUUGUAGCAAUAGACAGAGGUCAGAUGGUAAGGCUAAUGCUGAAACAAUACAGGCUUUAUUACAGGGCAGUGUAAAUAGGAAGGACUGGUCUGGAAACUUUUCUUGCUGCCUUUAGAGAUCUCACUGCAGUUGGUGACUUAGAUAAAUUUGCUCUUGCUGUCCCCUGUGCUUGACAAAUGUGAUUAGCUUUGUGCUGAACGGUGAGGGAAAGUGGGCCACAGUACUGAGAAGUAUCCUGGUUUUUUAGGUGCAACCAAAUGUUUGUUUAAUCCCCAAAUGUCUGGCAGAAUGUGUUUCAGGAGAAAGAUCACUUUUUUCAGAGAGAGGGUGAUAAAAGAAGGUUGGGAUUGUUAUAGUGAGAAACUUCUCACCUAAGCACACUAAGAAGAGGGAAUCUUAGCUGCGGAAACCAAAAUUUAUGGUCUUACAAAUCUUUGUGGUUCCUUCUGGCUUCCUACAAGCUGAAGAUAUUUCCUAAAUAUCCCUUUACCUUUUGAGAAAGUUCACCUUUUGAUUUCCUGUUCGAAUUUUGUUCCCAUCUGUGUGGUCUUCCUGCUUCUGAGUCACUGGCAGUUUUUGUUUGAGCUUUCCUUGUUCCUUCAGGAAGUUGAACAGGUGAGAACGCAUGCUCUUAUUCUGUGCUGUCUGAUGGACAUCCUUUGUAUCAGUGCUCCUUGUCAUGCAAUCAUUGUUGGAUUUGCAACAUCUGACAGCACACACUGCUUCAAGCAGUGUGGGAAGAGGGUGCCCUCCAGAAGAAGGGUUAAUGGUGUAAGCUGCCAUCCUCGGAGUGCCAGCCCAUACCCAAUCUGCAGCUGAAUGCACCUGCUCUAUGUGAGAGCUUUCUUCAGGGAGGAGAUAUGAGGGUACUGCAUUGCUGCUCCCUCCUUGCUUCCUGCGAGAUGUUUGUGGAUGUGUUUCUGAAAGCAGGUUGUGCUCUGCUCAGACAGUUACAGAAUGCAUGGUUUUGUCACAUUUUCAGGAGCUCAGCAGAUCUUGUAGGUGGUAUAUUUUAAGCUACCUGUGAAAAUAAACUCAUGUUGUAAGGAAAAAAAAGGGAUGAUUAUUCUGAAUAUGCCUGCUUGAUUCUUGGACCACAGGCUAAAAGCCAGUCUUCACCAUUCUUUCACUGAACCUAUAAUAUACUUCUAGGGAGUUAAUGAAAAGAUAAAGAUGACGUUGCAAGCAUGAGAUACUGCAGUUCUGUCCAUUCAGCCUUGCCAUCUGCCUAGUAUCUGUACAAUCCCUUCACAGGUGUGCAGUGGCUCCGAUUCAAGAAGGCAUAGCAGGAAGAUUGGAAAAUUGUAGUGCAUGGUUUUGGUUUUUGCCAGGGGUUGGGGAGUGGUGGUGGUGGUUUUGUGAAGAUAGACGGGGGUGGAUUAGCAUUCUGACUGAACAGCUUCCUCAUCUAACUCAACAUGUUGCACAAGUCGUAGUGCUGCCUGAAGGGAGAAGACCAGGGUACUUGUUAGGGACCACAGUGAGAACAACGCUGAGGUCUGGAUGUAGAUCAGUUGGAGCUGAUUUGCAACCUGAUGCUGGAAGUUGUUGUCAGAAGUGCUGGUACAGCCCCCUCCUCUGAAAACAUUAUAAUGAUGUGUUUAUUGACAAAUGCUUACAUUUACAGAUGUGGGAUAUGCAAAGGAAGUCCAGAUUUGGAAAUGGCAGGCACUGUAACAAAUAUUGCUACUAAAGAAAAUAUCCUCCCUUGUAAACAUCAGCGUGUGGUAUGUUUAAAGAAAGAGAGUUCUUAUUUGAGAGAAUUAGUCGCAACAUUUGUUUGUUAUUUGAAAUUGUUUCUGGAAGAAUUUUUAAGAUUGCUGAAUUCCAACUCCUAACAGUAUUAGCUAGAGCUCAAGCUAUUUCACUGGAGACUUUUCCUAUGGUUUGUAGGCUUAUAAGAUCUAUGUUCCUGUACACUCAGGCUCAUAUACUGAAAUCGAUUAACAGGUUAAUCAUAGUAUCAAGUAACUUCUCUAGAAAUUUAGAUGUGCUCCAAGAAAGCUGAAUUUUCCUUGUUUUGAAUACCUUUACAUAUCUAUUUACACACUAUAUUUAGUUGCAAGGCAUUCAGUAGCUUUAAUUUAUUGUCUUCUGUAAUAUUUUUGUGCCACAAUAUCGCAUUGAUAACUACAGUUACUAUCUGUACAUGGAAAAGAAUUGGGAAAUGCCUGGUAUUUUUACCUUCUCUUAUGUAAAAUGCUGCAGUGAAUUAAUAGAUAUUAGCGAUGUUGUUGAGAGAUUUAAUGUACUGAAAAACAAUUGCAACUGAACCCUUCAAUUGAACAAAACUUGAUAAUGUUCUUAAUAGCUAAAUAUACCCUUAAUAAUAGGAAAUAUGUUCAUGAGAGGUCUCACCUUCAUUUCACUGUGUCUGAGACUGAAUGAAAUGCAUAUUAUUUCGAUUAAGUGUAUGGUGGUAAAUUUUUGACUAGCUGUAAGGUUUUGAUGCUUAAAUCGCUGUUCUCUGUUGGUCAGGAGUUGUGGAGUGGGUGGGGUUGGCAGGCCCUCUGGGUCCAACUGCCCCAACCUUUGAUCCAGCAGGGAUGCCCAGAGUGGAGUGCCCAGGGCCAUGACCGUGCGCCUUCUGAACAUCUCCAAGCUGGAGAGCCUCUGGGCAGCCUGUGCCAGUGUUCCGUCACCUGCACUGCACAGAUACGUUUCUGGUGGUCAGAGGGAACAUCUCGUGCUCCACUUGUGUCCACUGCCUCUUGUCCUGGUACUGAGCACCACUGAAAAGAGCCUGUUUCUGUUCUCUUUGCACGCUCCCUUCACGUAUUAAAACAAACUGAUACCUCAAUGACUGAAGAUGCUGUGAUACUGAUAGCAGUGAUUCAUUUUCUUUGUUGCUGUUGGCACCUGUUGACUAGGUGGGUUAGGAAUGAGGAUGCAUAUGCUGUGUCUGCAAACUUCCCAAUUUCAAAACGGUUAGACACACCCGAGUUAGCUUUGAUCUAGCUAGCCCGGAUUAAAAAAAGAUUGUGUGGAUUUAGUAGCGUGCAUUUUAGCAUAGCCUGUUUGAGACUGCAAGGGAGUCUUGGGGCUUAAUCUCUGCAGUCCUGUGCCCUGGAAAACAAAUGUUUUUUGUAAAGCUCUUGUUCGUGAAUUCUGUAGCUUGCAUAGAUGCAGAGAGCUGUGGCUGAAUGAGGUACAUGUAUUGUAUGCUGUGUGUGAAUUUUCCUGGUUAAUCUUUAACAGGUGGAGCGCACCAUACCUUAGAAUUAAUAAGGACUUAGUACUGUGUAGAAUUAUAAAUUUACAGUGAUUACCAAAUGAGGUGUUUACUGUGAUUGACAUCUUGUGGGACUGGUGAAGCAUUAGCAACCUGUGUAUUUCGAGUUUCUGCAUGACUUAGCUUGCAUGUUACGAGGGCUGCUCUGAAAGUAAUGCCUCCUAUUUUAUUACAUUGGCCCAUGACAUCAAAGGCGGAUGCUGGUAAUAUGGCAGGAGAGAUAGAACCUUCCCCAGACUCUUCCGCUGCAUUUUGUUGCUGUGUGACAAACAGCAGCAGAGGAGUGGUCUGACAGAAUGAUGUCUGACAUGAAAGUGUACGCGAAGCAAAGGUGUGUCAUUGAAUUCCGCCUUGUGGAAAAAAUGGUGCCCAAUGACGUUUAUCAAUAUGUGCUGAAUGUUUAUGGAGACCAAGCAGUGGAUGUGCACACAGUGAGAUGGUGGGUGGUGCGUUUCAACAGGAAUAUGCUUGAUUCCUUUGUGUUCUUGUGAACAAAAGCAGCUGCUGCUACAACUGCAUUGACCAUAAAAUUUCCUAAAUUCAUGCUUGAAAACAAAUAUCCUUAGUUGAAUUACAGGAUUUAUUUGGGAAGUGUCCCGUUUGAAUGAAAAUAUUUCUGGGAAUUUGGCAGUGGGCAAUCCUUAAAGGAUUCUGUCUCUCCCAGAGCAAAAGCAGCCUCAUUUCUAGCCUGCUAGAUGAAAGAUCAGGUUUGUUUCCUCCCUUACUUCCUACAUUCUUUCUGCAGGCAUUUUAUUUUUCUUCCACUUCUUUAGCAUCGUUCUUGAAAUGCAAAAGGAAGAACUACUUGUAGUUUCUUUAUGCCAAACAAAGUAAUGUAACUGCUUUGCUCCCUUUUUUUUGAUGCUCUUGUUCAUUACAGCAUUAGUGGAUUGUGCGAGAUUGGCCACAACUUUGUGUUUUGAGUUUUCUUUUGCAGAUGUGGUGGAUUCAAGGAAGCUAACUAAUAAAUUGAAGUAAUGCACAAAGCUGUCACCUGUGAAGAUCAGAGUUCACUCUUUCCACUUGAGAUCAGAGAAGAUCAGCUUGCUUUUCAGUCUAAUUGUAUUCACUGCUUAUGCAUAAUGCAAAACCACAACUUAACUCUGUUCCAUGUGAUGAAAGAUAAAGACCAGUCUAAGACAAUAUGAUAUUAGCUUUUCAGAUCCCAUAGAAUGAAUUACGUCUUUUUAUGUAUAAAACAUAACUUACGCGUACAUACACAUCACAGUGUGAAUGAUGCCAUGUAGCUUCAGCAUAAGCAGCAGUGCAAUUAAUAAAUAGUAUUUCCCAUUGGUCUUAAAUUGUUUCGAUUUUUUUUUUUGGCAUGUUAGUAUUUUUACUCAUACUUACAUUUAUUGUUAGAAGACGGUCAUUAAUUUAUAUCGUUAUUUCCAUAUUUGAAGGCUUAGUACUAAGAUGCAGUUCUUUAGUAUAUUGAAGCUGUGCAAUUUAUUGUGCUGAUGUUUUUUUUAUUAGCAGUAAUAUUUAUUUGCUUUUUUUCCCAGCAAAUGUGAACAAUCACAUUUUUAUUUUAAAUCACAGAAAGCUUAUUUGCAGAAGUUGCAAACAAUUUUCUAAGUUCAGUUUUGCUGCAAACUCAGCUUUGGUUUUGUGUCUGGUAUAUUGGAAAAUGUGACAGAACAAUUUUCUCCAAAUUGUUGAACUCAGGGUGGCAAAGUCUCUUCGUGUUUUGGAAUAGAUCGGAUAGUAUAACAGGUGAUUUGGGGGGUUUGGUGUCGUGCAUUUACUGUCCUUAUUGGUGAGUGUUUUGUACAUGAGUGGGCCUUCCCAGAUCAUAUGAGGGUGGCCCUCUCAUCCGUCCCAUCACUGUCUUGUCAUCUGUGAGGCUGAAUCCUUGGACCUAUCAGUGGCUCUCAUAUGUCCAGAACAGAGCUGGCCUGGCUGGCCUCUGGUUUAAGGCAAAAAAAAAAAAACCAGUUUCCUCACCUGUUUGUUGAAUCAUCUUGUUCUCUUGGUCCUAUCACAUCUGAAUUUGUUUGCAAACUUCUGGUUAUGCAACUGUGGUACUAGAAAUACUGCAGAUGACCUCCCCCCCCCCCCCCUUUUUUUUUAAUUAUUUUUUAAAACCUUGACUUGUCAUUCCUGUAACAUGGCCCUUAAAAAUCUUCAUUUCUUAGUAUGACAGUCAGAUGUUGGGGUAAGAACCACUGCUGUUCUCACUUCUUCAUGCUUCUGUGCAGUCAGUAAUAUUUGCGAAGACCACAGCCCAUAGUUGCAGUAACUGUGUGUGUAGGACAUACAGGAAAGAUAUGAUUAUUUGUAGUAUGAGGAAGCACUGAAUAAUCGUUGUUUAAACUCAAGUUUAACGUUUUUUUCUUCUUGCUCUUCUUUUAUUUUCUUCGUAAGCGAUCUUCUUCAGAAUAACUUCCUCCUUUAAUACCUCUUCUACUCUGCUCUAGAACCCAUGCCAAAGAUCUUUGCAGAAUGGAGGAAAAGUUGAUGUUGAGAACCAGCAUGCCCGCCCUUCUUCGGAGGAGAAAAUACUGCUAUAGCCUCUUUUCUUUGAAAACAACUGGCUAUUGGGAGGAGGUUGUUUGGAACGAGAAUGAGCUGUGAAAUAACUGGACACUGCGUGUCUUUCCAGCUGGGAUUAAUUUGGAAUCAAAAGUUUAUAGCAUUCUUUAAAUGUUCACAUGCUAGGCUGUGAGGGAGUAAGAGGGGACAGACAUACAUUCCUUGCAAAUCUUAGCUUCUUGCGUCUGUCCGUGACUAUAAAAGGGAAGCAGGGAUAGAUAUGGUAAGAUUUGAGGGAGAGGGGAAGAAAAAGAGUAGAGAAAAGGACAGGUAAAGGCAGUGGCUAUUUAAUAUCUUCACUGUGAAAUUAAAAUUCGGGCCAAGUACUCCAUCUGGGAUUGUUCUGCAAUGCAGUCGUCAUGUCUUUGUUGGUAAAGGCUAAUCUGGGUUUUUCAGCUUUGCUUUUAUUAAAAUGGCUUGGAUGUAGAGAGGAAUGUUGAUACUCGUGACCAUCUUAAAAGAACAGGUUAAAUGUUUGGACAAGUUGGAUUCGUUUUCUCAUAUGUUAAAAUCCUAGCAGUUGUCUUUCAUCCAGAAAUCACAUUAUAGCUAGCUUGUGUGCUUUUGGUUAAAUCAAAGGUCCCGCUGGCCUAGUGCUGCUGCCUCUGACAGAGCCUGGCAACAGCUGUACGCGGAGGAGUAUGGGAAUGGUUUGUAGGCUCAUUUGGUGACUUCUGUCUCAGGAACUGGAUCAGAACUUUUUUUUUUUACUCUUCAUUACCUUCUUCUUUCUCUUCUUCAUUUUUCUUUUAUUUGGGAAGAGCAGCAUUGCAUUUGAUACUCAAUGUGAAAGUUGCUGCGCAGCGGUAAUGACGUAGGACCAGUGUUCCCUUCAGAAUAAAUGUAUGCAGGUGUGUUUUGUUGCUGCUGCCAUUUUUUUCUUUAUCUUUUUUUUUUUUUUGGCAAAAAUAAGGGAUGUUUCCUUCUUUCUCUUUCAGUAGGCUGUAGAGAACUAACAUUGUUCUCUCCUUUUUUCGGUAGAACCAAUUCUUGAGGCAGGAGUUUGUUCUGAGUGAUCCAGCUAUAAGCAUUAUACUGACUGAUGCUUAUACUGUUGCUUCAACUGCAAAUGCAGUUUACCGUUAGAAUAAUUUAAUUCUCUUUUAGUACCUAUGCAGUGAUGAUCAAGUUCUAAAUUGAAUGGUAAAACGUUGGAAUAACAUCUCUUGGUUGGCAGUCGUGUUGCCAGCACAUCUCAGGAUCACACCAGUCGUCAUAGCAUAUAUCAAUUUAGAACAUCUUUCUUUUGUGCUUUUUUUUCUCCCCCUCAGCUAAUCUGUUGGGCAUGAAAUGUAAUUUUCAUCUUAUACGAUCUGUAUGUGUUUGCUUUUAUACAAUUGGACUCUGUGGCUUAUAGUAUCAUCUUAUUUUUAGUGCAAGCACAUCAGACCUGUAAUUUCAGAUUUACUGUUUGGAGAACAGUUUUUUUUUCCAGUGAGUACUUCUGACAAGGAAUUACAGAACUAUAUCUGGAGUGUUUUUAGGAAUGAGCAUUAUCAAAAAUGAGAAACAGCUAUGUCAAGAUGUCAUGCUUUGCAGUAGUGGAACCUAUGUGCUAUGAAGUUUCUCCUUACUUUAUAGUACCGAACUGUGAAGUACGUUUAAAGCUUAGAGGGCAGAGAGUGAUUAUGUUGUAUCAUGUUAUACUUUGUGUUACAGAAGGUGGUCUUUCUUGUUCCUGGGUUGAACAGCUGAUAAACACCCCCCGCCUUGUAUUUUUCUUUUCCUUCUCUGUACUAAGGAAUGGGAGAAUCUGCCUUCUUUCUGAAAUAACGAUGAAACUAUUGGAGGUAAUGUGCUGUUAAGUUUAAGCCUGUUUAGUUAAGGUUACUUACUGUAUGUUUUGAGGCUGAAUCCUAUGAUUCGUUUUUGUUCUGAAAUGAUUCUUUUAUUUUCUGUUUAAGAUGGUGAAGAAUUCUUUUCCACAGUGCACUGUUACUGAAAGGAGAGAAAAGAGCAGCUAUGUUAACUGGAUAAAAAACAAUUACAGAGAUCUGCUUUGAGAUGCUAUUCAGAAAGCAGUGCGGCAAGGUAUAAUAUUUAGCAGUGAUGGUAUCUUUUCAGUAUUGGUUACAGUGUAAUAGUAAUAGUUCAGAGAUACUUGGUUGGUUGAAAUAUUUUUGUGCUGGUCAGAAAUACACUUACUUUGUAUGUACAUACUGUUCCUUAAACCUGCUUUAACGAUGAUUUGCAUUUCCUAGCAGCUUUUGAACCUGCUGGUUUCAAACAUGUUUGUUGGAUGGGUGCAAGACUAGAUUAUACUAAGUUCCAGAUAGCUUGUGCAGCAUCGUGGCUUGAGCGGAGAAACAUGUGUUGUGCUGCCCAGCUGGAGAGUGCAGUGCGAGCGCUUCUCAGGCAAUGGACCCAAAUGAAUUAAGCUGAAUAAAUGAGGAGAGAGGAAGGUGCUUUGGAACACAGGAAACUAUUCAGUAAGAAACCAAACCCAACUAGGUUUCUUCACUAGUCUUGGCAUACUUGGUUUUUAUUACACUAUUCUUACUUUUACUCCACAUAAACCAAACAGGGAGGCUCUGCUUGUAAUCCAGAAUUGCUCAAGGGUAGAUGUGCAAUUAGUAUUUUUAUUAAUGGUACAUAUGCACCUGAAUGAUCUUGUAAAUGAUUUGGUUGCAUAGUGUACUCCUGAAUAACACGCAAAUAAUUUUUCCAUAGGAAUUUUGGAGUUAAGUCAGUUUGGAAGUUGAUUUGAGGAAAAACGUAUGUAGGAAUUGCAAAUUGUGAUGAAGAUACAGAGCCCAUGGGUUGUCAGAUAACGGAGAUACUAAGGGAGUACUUCAAAAUUGAUAUUCUUCAUCAUCUUACCAUGUGCAUAUCUGUGCUCCUGAUACCUGAUGCUUUUUAAACAAAUCAUUUCACUUGUCAUCUUUUGUUGUAACAUAUGUUGGGAGUUUAUGUGGAUCAAAGAUGACCCGGAGUGUAAGAAAAUGUCAUCAAUACCUUAUUAGUAGGAAGGUGUUUUUUGUUAUCAGCUAGGAUUAGUAACUAUUUCAGUAAGUCCAUUUUGUUAGUCUGAGAAUCUUUAUAAUGUGUUCUAGUGCAUUUGUUAUACUUGUAAGAGUAAACAGUGUAAUCACAGAUCUGUCACAAGCGGGAACAGAGGGUACCUCAGCAUAGUUUCUCUUUAUAAUAACAAUAGGAUCAGUAUAAAACAUAACACCUUUUGGACCAGUGUUUUUGUUUUGUGUAAACCACGUGGUGCUUUCCUUUAUUUUGAUAGAUUCUCACUUAGAAAUUCAGUAUUAAACUUUUGUCUGUCAGAAUAGGAUCUAAUGUAUAAGCAUCUUUAUUCUGACCAAAGGAAUGUAGACAAGUACUUGAAAAAGAAGCUUAAGUAUCUAUCCUCUACCCUUCAAACCAAAAGCAAAUCCCCAAAAUACUAGGGAGCUUUGUUGAUGAUAUCAAGGUGCCUCUGCCUAACGUAUUCAAGAAUGAAAUCCCUCACAAUGAUGUAGGAUUUCUUUUCUGGACUUCAAAAGAUGUUUAGACAGCUGCUUAUUCUCUAGCGUAAUGUUUUAUUUCAGUACUCCAUAUAAAAGAGGGCAGAUUUUUAAAAAUUUACCCAGUAUGUAGACCAA